UGAUAAUGAGCUUUACGUACCUA
This 23-nucleotide non-coding RNA is filed under the name Arabidopsis thaliana (thale cress). The record is from RNAcentral. Lineage: Eukaryota; Viridiplantae; Streptophyta; Magnoliopsida; Brassicales; Brassicaceae.